GGGAGAGUGGUGGAAUGGUAUACACGACGGACUUAAAAUCCGUUGCCUUUACGGGCUUGAGGGUUCGAGUCCCUCCUCUCCCACCA
This 86-nucleotide transfer RNA is filed under the name Patescibacteria group bacterium. RNAcentral describes it as "tRNA-Leu". It matches the Rfam family "tRNA". From Rfam's summary of the family: Transfer RNA (tRNA) molecules are approximately 80 nucleotides in length. The record is from RNAcentral.